This 496-nucleotide ribosomal RNA is filed under the name uncultured bacterium. RNAcentral describes it as "partial 16S ribosomal RNA". It matches the Rfam family "Bacterial small subunit ribosomal RNA", at positions 28 to 507 of the family's 1533-position model. The record is from RNAcentral.
GAUGAACGCUGGCGGCGUGCCUAAUACAUGCAAGUCGAGCGAACAGACGAGGAGCUUGCUCCUCUGACGUUAGCGGCGGACGGGUGAGUAACACGUGGAUAACCUACCUAUAAGACUGGGAUAACUUCGGGAAACCGGAGCUAAUACCGGAUAAUAUAUUGAACCGCAUGGUUCAAUAGUGAAAGACGGUUUUGCUGUCACUUAUAGAUGGAUCCGCGCCGCAUUAGCUAGUUGGUAAGGUAACGGCUUACCAAGGCAACGAUGCGUAGCCGACCUGAGAGGGUGAUCGGCCACACUGGAACUGAGACACGGUCCAGACUCCUACGGGAGGCAGCAGUAGGGAAUCUGCCGCAAUGGGCGAAAGCCUGACGGAGCAACGCCGCGUGAGUGAUGAAGGUCUUCGGAUCGUAAAACUCUGUUAUUAGGGAAGAACAAAUGUGUAAGUAACUAUGCACGUCUGGACGGUACCUAUCAGAAAGCCACGGCUAACUACGUG